AAAGUGGGGACAACCUCUCAAUUAUCCCUAAAGAACAUCAUCGCAUUGGGUGAAUGGACCGCCUCGCACUCCUCACCAACACCUUCCCUGUUUUGAGUACUGAGCUAAGGCUGCGUGACCGUAGUGCAACAGCCAAACAGCCUACUUCUACGAAAGUUCAAGACAGACCAAUCUGCUGGAUGCGAUCACCGCUAUGUUUAUGCCAACGAGCAUGGAGAUCGUUUGUGAGCGCAGACAAAAUUGUAUAUGUCAAAAGAGUUGUGGAGUUUCUGACGAGCUUGGCUCCAUUAACGACAUUUGCAAUCAUAUUCUUUCUGUGUUAUUAUUCACAUCAGCUACUGGAAGCUAACAAUACAAAUACAGUUGUGGUUUAUAUCUUCUGUAUUGAGUUGUUUGGCAAUUGGCUCUUAUUUUUCUUCAACAAAAGUUAUAUUGAUAAGUCAUCAGGAAACAGUGAACUAGCGCCUGGUUUAUCUCACGAUGACUGCAAACAACUGCGAUAUUGUCCGACUUGUAAGAUUUAUAAGCCAGAGAGAAGCCAUCACUGCUCUCUGUGCGAUCGCUGUAUCCACCAGAGAGAUCAUCAUUGCUUCUUCCUUGGCACAUGUGUGGGAGGCUACAACUUGUGUUACUUUAUAUUCUUCUGUUUUUAUGCUUGCAUUGGGUGCAUAUAUGCGGCAGUUUUACUUCAUGGAUACUACUCAGGGACAUACCUAAGAACAUUUUGGUCCUCUCAAUUUCUCUACUACUUUUACCCUGUGACGUUAAUUAUGUGGAUGUGUGGAAAAGCUGACUUAGCUGAGGUUGGAUGGGUCACAUUGCUAUACAUAGCUUCAGCGACAGUAGUUUUUACUGGCUUCUGUGUCAUACAACAGUUGAUCUAUGUUUUAAGAGGUCAGACUGCCUAUGAAUAUAACAAGGGUCUACUCAUGGUGCACCGGUCAGCUUUCCACAAUUUUCUGCAUGUGUUUGGCCGCUACUGGAUCCUGCACCUCCUCAUCCCCUUUCCACGUCGUCGCACUAUCACUGAUCCAAGGAGUUUUCUCAAAAUUGUUUGAAACUUUGGAUAAUGCACUCUGUUCUGUUUUAGUUUCGGAUAAAAGGAUGCAAAGUAAUGUUAUUUGUUCUUGAGCAUUUUUGUAAGGGAUUUUACAUAUACAUAACACAUUCACAUGUACAAAGACACUUAUAAGUAAUCAUAGCUGCAUAUAUAGACACACAUAUACAAGCACAUCAGUACAAACACAUGAACAUACAGAUAUACAUAGAUGUGUACUACAGGUAUACCUAGAAAUGUUUGUUAACAAGUAUGAUCCUGAUUAGUUUUAGUUAUGUAAUUAUGAUUAGAUGUACAAUCAUAAUUGAUAACUUGUCCAGUUUGUCAAACUAGCUUUUUAUUCAUAACAAUUCGCUACUGUUGAUUGAAAAUACAGAUUGUGCUUGCAAAAAAGCUAGGUUGACAAUGUGGUGUCUGAAAUGUAUUCCUUAUAUUUUUUUUUUAUAAUAUUGCUUUUUGUUAUAAGUGUUGUAGUUCACUGUUUAGAGGCUAUAAUAAGCAAUACUUUGAUAAUCAGUAAAUUGUAAUAUUUGUAUUAUUUAUGUUCUUUUAUGCACAUGUUCACAGUAUGAUGGAAACAAAAUAUGAUAGUGUUGUGUAUAUCAAUUUCAUACAUAUCAUUUGGAUUUAAACAUGUAUAUACAUUUAUGAUAAAUGACAUGACAGAUUGUCAAAAUAUUUUGGAUUAAGGUUAACUGUAAGAUUUCUCACACACAAACACACACAGACACUCGCACUCAUACCCACACCCACACCCACACCCACACCCACACCCACACCCAUAUCCACACCCAUACCCAUACCCAGUCACACCCACACCCACACUCACACCAUCACCCACACCCACACUCUCACUCACACUCUCACUCUCACUCACACUCACACUCACACUCACACUCACACUCACACUCACACAGUCUGCAGAUUUAUUGCACAAUUGUUGAUUUUUCAUAGAUGAUUAUUAUAAUGAGAUAAUCAGGAAUAUUAAGCUUGCCUACCUACCAGGAUCCAGUUCCUAGUGACAUGAAAAUGUUUGCUUUUUAUUGAUAUAUGACUGGCAGAUGUAUUGAAUUUGAGAAUGUUUUAUUCUUUCUAGUCAUAUAGUGUGAUUUUUCCAAGAUAUACAGUAUAUCCUAACUUCAGUAUUAUAGGUUGAGAAUCCCAUAUCUAACAUACUGAGAAUAUUUUUUUUCAGCACUCAGUAAAGCCAGAAGUACAAACAUUUUUGUCCUUGAAUAUUAUUCUUGUUAUCUUCUUCAAUUUUUUCUUUGUCUCUCUAUAUUACUGUUUAUUAUUCAUACAUGUAUUUAUUGGGCAUGGUGAAUAACGUUUCAACCUAGAAAAGAUGAAAAAAAUAAAUUUACGUUAGACUUAGGAUUCUCAGUCCAUGUCAGAUUUUGCUGGAUGACUUCACUUCUUGUGACCUGUUUAAUGGUGUUGUGUUUUUGUAGAUAUAUGUGUAUUUACUUAUAUAAAAGUAUAUGUGUUUGUAUAUGCACAUUGUGUAUUUCGGUAUCUUUUUAUUGCUAAAGUAAAAUUUAUUUGUAAUUUUAUAGCAUGAUCAAAAUGUUUGUUAGUGGUGGCCAGUCAGGUAAAAAAUUGUAUAAUUUUUUUUUUUCUCUUUUGAUUCUAUAUAUUAUUUGCUCUACAAUAAGUAUGAAUUUAUGUAAAACAAAUAUGAAUAUAAGAAGUACACUCACAAGAAUCUGAAAUAUGAUAUGAUUGAGUGAAAGUACUGUACCAGGCUGCAUUGUGCUAUAAUUUUGUAUUGAAAAGCAUAGCUCAUGAAAUUCAUACCAUUAUGAUAUUGCAAGAUAAAAGUAGAAUUGGAAAUUAAAUUGCACUAACUUAUUUUGUAUUUAUAUGUGAGAUUAGUAUCAUUUUUUAAAAAAAGGACCACUCCUGAACAUCAUCUGCAUCUGUGGUUCAUCUUAAGUGCAAAAAGAAAAAAAAAAUAUAUAUAUGUUACUUACAAUCUCACUUAUUAAGAGAGCUGUUAAACCAUUGCGGAUGGAUGUCGUGACAUACAUGACAUAGGAGCUUUGGCCUGACGACAGGCGACGUGGCACAUAUGACGUUCGGGGAUUUUGGAUCACAGUGCCAUUCUAUUGUGCUAUGAGUAAGGAGUGAGUGUUGGUGACUAUUGCAGUCAUAAUUGUUAUAAUUACUGUAAUAAGUAAACCUAACACCCAAAGCCCAGAUGGCACCACUUUCUUUUAGCACCAGCAGGAGAGAGAGCCUGGAAUGGCACCCAUCCACAGUCUCUAGCAAGCACUAUCUUUAGAGAACGAUGGCACACAGCAAGUUACUGACCUCAUGCUCUAAAGUACUGCUGAUGAAGAAUGUGCAGGCAGAACAAGAAGAGGAAGGGUACUCAAACCAUGCCCAGUGUCUAAAAUGUGCCCCUAUUCCAGUAGGUAUGCCAUUUACUGUGUCACUCCCAAUUGUAAGCAGAGGUUUUCUUCCUCUUCCCUACCUCUUCAUGUUAUCUUCAUUGUAGAUGGUUAUAUGUUUCGUAUUCGUUCAUGAUAGUACACGAAUAUGAAAAAAUAAAAUUGUUUUUUGUCCUCACAUAAAACAGCUUUACUUCUAUCACAAUGAGUAUAAAGAAAAUAAUGAGCUGAUAUGGAUCCUAUUUUACAAUUUUAGUCAACUGCAUUAUUGAUAAAGCCUGUCAUAUGACAGUUGGAAGUCUCUAAACACAAAAAAAAACUAGUUUUAUCAAGGCAAAGUCAAUGUAUGUUGCUUCACGCUGCCUUCCUCUGAAAUAAAACCCAUCCUGGAGAUUGGGUUAGCAAAUCUAUCCCCUGUCUGCAAUGGGUUAAUAAUGCCAUAUGUAAUUUGAAUAAUGAUGUUUUGUAACUCUAGUUUUAUCAAGGCAAAGUCAAUGUAUGUUGCUUCACGCUGCCUUCCUCUGAAAUAAAACCCAUCCUGGA
RNAcentral lists this unclassified non-coding RNA (3993 nucleotides) under Penaeus japonicus. RNAcentral describes it as "palmitoyltransferase ZDHHC22-like, transcript variant X3". The record is from RNAcentral. Lineage: Eukaryota; Metazoa; Arthropoda; Malacostraca; Decapoda; Penaeidae.